RNAcentral lists this long non-coding RNA (366 nucleotides) under Vigna radiata. RNAcentral describes it as "long non-coding RNA (VRAD_LNC017415)". The record is from RNAcentral. Lineage: Eukaryota; Viridiplantae; Streptophyta; Magnoliopsida; Fabales; Fabaceae.
ACUUGGAUGCACAAAGAACUCGCCAUCUUUUGCUACCCAGACGCAUUUUCUCUGAUUGGGAGCUCUUGGAGCGAGCUAGGAGCUGUGGGAACAAUCCUUCUUCUUCCUUGGGUUCUCUUCUUUCUUCCAUUUCCACCAUUGUUGUAAGCUUGAGCUUUCCAUUUAUGGAGAGCUAGUUUCAUUGUUGUUGGGGGAUUGAUGUAACCACUAAACUCUUAUGUAAAGCAUGUUGUUUUGAAUGAAUAUAUACCUCUUUCAUUGAUUGUUAGUGUUUAAUUUCUUUUCUUAAUGCUUGUUGUGAAGUUGCUACUCAUGACAUGAUUUAGGGUUUCUUGAUAUUGGGAAAUAUUGGGUAAACCUUGACUU